UACGUAGGGUGCAAGCGUUGUCCGGAAUUAUUGGGCGUAAAGAGCUCGUAGGCGGUUUGUUGCGUCGGCUGUGAAAUCCCGAGGCUCAACCUCGGGUCUGCAGUCGAUACGAGCAAACUAGAGUGUUGCAGGGGAGACUGGAAUUCCUGGUGUAGCGGUGAAAUGCGCAGAUAUCAGGAGGAACACCCGUGGCGAAGGCGGCUCUCUGGGACGGUAUUGACGCUGAGACGCGAAAGCGUGGGGAGCGAACAGG
RNAcentral lists this ribosomal RNA (253 nucleotides) under uncultured bacterium. Its description in RNAcentral is "partial 16S ribosomal RNA". It matches the Rfam family "Bacterial small subunit ribosomal RNA", at positions 524 to 776 of the family's 1533-position model. The record is from RNAcentral.